AGGGUUUGAUUAUGGCUCAGGAUGAACGCUGGCGGCGUGCUUAACACAUGCAAGUCGAACGGAGAGCAUAUGACAGAGGAUUCGUCCAAUGGAAUAUGUUUCUUAGUGGCGGACGGGUGAGUAACGCGUGAGGAACCUGCCUUGGAGUGGGGAAUAACAGGUGGAAACAUCUGCUAAUACCGCAUGAUGCAGUUGGGUCGCAUGGCUCUGACUGCCAAAGAUUUAUCGCUCUGAGAUGGCCUCGCGUCUGAUUAGCUAGUUGGCGGGGUAACGGCCCACCAAGGCGACGAUCAGUAGCCGGACUGAGAGGUUGGCCGGCCACAUUGGGACUGAGACACGGCCCAG
Molecule: ribosomal RNA, 345 nt
Filed under: uncultured bacterium
Lineage: Bacteria
Description: bacterial SSU rRNA
Rfam family: Bacterial small subunit ribosomal RNA
Source: RNAcentral